This 1127-nucleotide unclassified non-coding RNA is filed under the name Hevea brasiliensis (rubber tree). The record is from RNAcentral. Lineage: Eukaryota; Viridiplantae; Streptophyta; Magnoliopsida; Malpighiales; Euphorbiaceae.
GCUAAAUUUUCACCUUGUCCAACAAGUGUAACGAGUUUAUGGAAUCGGGAAUAUACAAGCACUGCAUAUGUUUAUAUGAAUUCUACCAAAGGUUAAUUCCACCUUCAACUUUAAACACAUUCUUCACAAUGCAAACGAUUGUAUCGCGAAUUUGGUUCUUGCUGAUUGAUUAAAUGAACUUGGAGCUCAUCUGGCUGCCUUGCUGUUAAUUCUGAUAUUCCAAGCAUCAUUCUUAGGUCCAUACAUAGGGUCACCGACAACAUAAGAAGAUGAAGGAACAUAACUCUUCAACAGUGGGACUCUGUCGGGAAUAUAAUCAUCAUCGCUCUCAUAAUAACACCUUUCCUGAUGUGGCCCUAGAGCUUUCAGGAUCAUUGCAAAUAAUAUGGUUAGCCCCUGCACAGUCACUACUGACAAGCCAAUCCAUUUACAGAUGUCAAAGUUAUCUUUUACAAAGUGUUUGAGCUCAUCGAAAUUCCCCGUCGUGUCCUCGGGAAAGUCCUCUUGCCAGUUUCUGUUAAGGAAUACAUCUACAGUCACAGCUGCUUCGAUCAUGAGAAGUAGGAAGACAAAAACCAUGUAAAUAUAUAAGCAACAGCCAUUAGCAGUUUCUGCAGCAAUGUGACCAGAGCAAGUGACUAUAGACAAAGUUAUUCCAAGACCAAGUGUUGCGUAAAUGAACCAUGGUGCAGGGACAUCAGGUCCAAAGAAAGGAGGAGGAUAAGGACCCAUUUGCUUAUGCCAAACCCUAAACAUCCAAAGAGCAUACAUAAUCAUCGCUAUUCCUACCAUUCCAAUAACCGAAUUCACUAAUUUCAACAAUGACUGCAUACAACUCCUCGCCAUCCUCGUCAUAUUUUGCUUUUCCCCCCUUUUUUCAACGAAAAAUCGAUCGGAAAUUAACAAUUCAACUGAAUAUAAUUCCUGAAAACCCUAACCCUUAAUUGAUCCUAAUUUAUUUUGUUCUUAAGGGGAUUAGGGUUGUUGGAAUCGGAGACGACGACGGAGUCGGAGAAAUUUGAAAGAAUUUAGUGAUUGAAUUUGUCGCCGAUUACCGAUUGAGCUGACGUCGUUACCGUAUUAGACGCAAUUAGCUGUGACAGUUGGCGUUUGUAGAUGAAAAAAAU